AUGUAAGUAACUUUUCACUUUUUUGGUUCAUUCAAUAAAUAAUGCAUGUAGUCCAUAAUAUAGACCACAUACAUCAAUUAUUGAAUGAACUAAAAAGUGAAAAGUUGCUUACAU
Medicago truncatula (barrel medic) is the source of this 114-nucleotide microRNA precursor. It matches the Rfam family "MIR2593 microRNA precursor family". Lineage: Eukaryota; Viridiplantae; Streptophyta; Magnoliopsida; Fabales; Fabaceae. The record is from Rfam.